This 430-nucleotide ribosomal RNA is filed under the name uncultured Acidobacteriota bacterium. RNAcentral describes it as "bacterial SSU rRNA". It matches the Rfam family "Bacterial small subunit ribosomal RNA", at positions 355 to 776 of the family's 1533-position model. The record is from RNAcentral. Lineage: Bacteria; Pseudomonadati; Acidobacteriota.
UGGGGAAUUGUUCGCAAUGGGCGCAAGCCUGACGACGCAACGCCGCGUGGAGGAUGAAGGUCUUCGGAUUGUAAACUCCUGUUGAUCGGGACGAAUGGCCUUUGGGUUAAUACCCCAGAGGAGUGACGGUACCGGUUGAGGAAGCCCCGGCUAACUCUGUGCCAGCAGCCGCGGUAAUACAGAGGGGGCAAGCGUUGUUCGGAAUUACUGGGCGUAAAGGGCGCGUAGGCGGCCAUCUAAGUCGGACGUGAAAUCCCUCGGCUCAACCGAGGAACUGCGUCCGAUACUGAAUGGCUUGAGUUCGGGAGAGGGAUGUGGAAUUCCAGGUGUAGCGGUGAAAUGCGUAGAUAUCUGGAGGAACAUCUGUGGCGAAGGCGGCAUCCUGGACCGACACUGACGCUGAGGCGCGAAAGCCAGGGGAGCAAACGGG